This is a long non-coding RNA of Sitodiplosis mosellana (orange wheat blossom midge), 540 nucleotides long. RefSeq lists it as uncharacterized. The record is from RefSeq and is a predicted model, not a curated record. The transcript is spliced from 4 exons. Lineage: Eukaryota; Metazoa; Arthropoda; Insecta; Diptera; Cecidomyiidae.
AUGUUAAUAGCGUAAAUACUGCGAAAGACACACCUCUUCAUUUAGCUGCUCAGCAUGGUCAAAGGAGUGUCGCUGAACUUCUCAUCCGUAAAGGAGCAAAUGUUAAUGUUAAAAAUAAUUUGAAUCAGACUCCUCUCCAAGUAGCUAUUAACAAUGGUCAUAAUGAGGUCGCCAAACUUUUUAUCGGUAAAGGAAACAAAAUUAAUAUUGCAGAGCAAUUGGAAUAGAUUCAAUUGGUUACUAACAAUGGUGACGAAUAGCUGAACCAAUUUAACUGAAUAAUCGGACGAUUUCCUUCGAUUCCCCUCUUCGAUUGUAGUGUAGAAUUAAUUCCAAAACAUUUUUUUGUCAAUCUAUGACCAUACCAACCAAUAUUGUUGCUUUGUUAGACCAUCGACUAAUAUUCUGUCAAAAAACAGCUCAAGUAAUUAGUCUUUUUAAUUGCUUACGAUAUAGUUAUUGGUAUGGAUUAGAAUUUUUUUUAAAUUUUUGUGACCUUAACGUGCAUUCGUGCUAAAUUUGAACGUGAUUUGUAUGAGU